CCACCAUUCUUACUCCGAGGAAACUCAAAAUUUAAGGUUUUUAAUUCAAGAUAAUCAAGAAUCUAUCUUCAAGAGCACAAAUAGGAAUUCAAAAUCAAGUGUUCUCAUCAAUUGCAUCAAUUAAGGUAUGUGGGAUUUUCAACAAGGAUAAUUCUUUUAUCCUUAUGCCCAAUAUUAGUUUUGAAGAUAAUUUACAUGAAUUUACAUGAGUUUCAAAUUAACGUUCAUA
Molecule: long non-coding RNA, 229 nt
Filed under: Capsicum annuum
Lineage: Eukaryota; Viridiplantae; Streptophyta; Magnoliopsida; Solanales; Solanaceae
Description: long non-coding RNA (CANN_LNC008053)
Source: RNAcentral